CUGGUAUUGAUUGGUGCUUGCAUCAUGAUUUACAUUUGAGUGAGUGGCGAACUGGUGAGUAACACGUGGGAAACCUGCCCAGAAGCGGGGGAUAACACCUGGAAACAGAUGCUAAUACCGCAUAACAACUUGGACCGCAUGGUCCGAGUUUGAAAGAUGGCUUCGGCUAUCACUUUUGGAUGGUCCCGCGGCGUAUUAGCUAGAUGGUGGGGUAACGGCUCACCAUGGCAAUGAUACGUAGCCGACCUGAGAGGGUAAUCGGCCACAUUGGGACUGAGACACGGCCCAAACUCCUACGGGAGGCAGCAGUAGGGAAUCUUCCACAAUGGACGAAAGUCUGAUGGAGCAACGCCGCGUGAGUGAAGAAGGGUUUCGGCUCGUAAAACUCUGUUGUUAAAGAAGAACAUAUCUGAGAGUAACUGUUCAGGUAUUGACGGUAUUUAACCAGAAAGCCACGGCUAACUACGUGCCAGCAGCCGCGGUAAUACGUAGGUGGCAAGCGUUGUCCGGAUUUAUUGGGCGUAAAGCGAGCGCAGGCGGUUUUUUAAGUCUGAUGUGAAAGCCUUCGGCUCAACCGAAGAAGUGCAUCGGAAACUGGGAAACUUGAGUGCAGAAGAGGACAGUGGAACUCCAUGUGUAGCGGUGAAAUGCGUAGAUAUAUGGAAGAACACCAGUGGCGAAGGCGGCUGUCUGGUCUGUAACUGACGCUGAGGCUCGAAAGUAUGGGUAGCAAACAGGAUUAGAUACCCUGGUAG
This 755-nucleotide ribosomal RNA is filed under the name Lactiplantibacillus pentosus. RNAcentral describes it as "bacterial SSU rRNA". It matches the Rfam family "Bacterial small subunit ribosomal RNA", at positions 67 to 793 of the family's 1533-position model. The record is from RNAcentral. Lineage: Bacteria; Bacillati; Bacillota; Bacilli; Lactobacillales; Lactobacillaceae.